GUGAGGAAUAUUGGUCAAUGGGCGCGAGCCUGAACCAGCCAAGUAGCGUGAGGGAUGACUGCCCUAUGGGUUGUAAACCUCUUUUGCAGGGGGGUAAAGUGGUUCACGUGUGGACCAUUGCAAGUACCCUGCGAAUAAGGAUCGGCUAACUCCGUGCCAGCAGCCGCGGUAAUACGGAGGAUCCGAGCGUUAUCCGGAUUUAUUGGGUUUAAAGGGAGCGUAGGCGGGGGUUUAAGUCAGCUGUGAAAUGCCGUGGCCCAACCAUGGAACUGCAGUUGAAACUGGACCUCUUGAGAGUACAUAAGGAAGGCGGAAUUCGUGGUGUAGCGGUGAAAUGCAUAGAUAUCACGAAGAACUCCGAUUGCGAAGGCAGCUUUCCGGGGUACAUCUGACGCUGAAGCUCGAAAGUGCGGGAAUCAAACAGGAUUAGAUACCCGGUAGUCC
Molecule: ribosomal RNA, 444 nt
Filed under: uncultured bacterium
Lineage: Bacteria
Description: partial 16S ribosomal RNA
Rfam family: Bacterial small subunit ribosomal RNA
Source: RNAcentral